Molecule: ribosomal RNA, 459 nt
Filed under: uncultured bacterium
Lineage: Bacteria
Description: partial 16S ribosomal RNA
Rfam family: Bacterial small subunit ribosomal RNA
Source: RNAcentral
CCUACGGGAGGCAGCAGUGAGGAAUAUUGGUCAAUGGGCGGAAGCCUGAACCAGCCAAGUAGCGUGCGGGAUGAAGGCCCUACGGGUCGUAAUCUGCUUUUGCACGGGGAUAAAAUGCUCCACGUGUGGAGUUCUGCAGGUACCGUGCGAAUAAGGACCGGCUAAUUCCGUGCCAGCAGCCGCGGUAAUACGGAAGGCCCGGGCGUUAUCCGGAUUCAUUGGGGUUAAAGGGAGCGUAGGCGGGCGUUUAAGUCAGCGGUAAAAUCGCGGGGCUCAACCGCGCCCCGCAGUUGAAACUGGGCGGCUUGAGUGCGCGACAGGCAGGCGGAAUUCGUGGUGUAGCGGUGAAAUGCAUAGAUAUCACGAGGAACCCCGAUUGCGAAGGCAGCCUGCCGGGGCGCGACUGACGCUGAGGCUCGAAGGCGCGGGUAUCAAACAGGAUUAGAUACCCUUGUAGUC